This 1183-nucleotide long non-coding RNA is filed under the name Numida meleagris (helmeted guineafowl). RNAcentral's name for it is "lncRNA (ENSNMEG00000002265.1)". The record is from RNAcentral. Lineage: Eukaryota; Metazoa; Chordata; Aves; Galliformes; Numididae.
GGUGGCCCUCCGGGUGUCACCUUCUGGUGGUGGCCCUCCGGGUGUCACCUUCUGGUGGUGGCCCUCCAGGUUUCACCUUCUGGUGGUGGUCCCCCAGGUGUCACCUCCUAGUGGUGGUCCUCCAGGUGGCCCUCUGGGUGUCACCUCCUAGUGGUGAUCCUCCAGGUGUCACCUCCUAGUAGUGGUCCUCCAGGUGGUCCUCCAGCUGCCACCUCCCCAUGGUGGCCCUCUGGGUGUCACAUCCUAGUGGUAGUCCUCCAGGUGGUCCUCCAGGUGUCACCCCCUUGUGGUGGCUCUCUGGAUGUCACCUUCUAGUGGUGGCCCUCCGGGAUGUCCUGGUGGUCCUUGAGUUCCUUCCUGGUGGGCGGGAGUUGGGUCCUCCUGUUUUGUCCCCAUGGUUCUCUUGGUGGCAGGUGGUUCCCUCACGGUGUCCCCAAGUUCUUCAGGUCCUUCAUGGUGUCCCCGUGGUGUCCCCGUGUCCCUCAGGUCCCUCAUGGUGUCACUGUGGUGUCUCCAUGUUUUUCAGGACCUUCAUGGUGUUCCCAUGGUGUCCAUCAGGUCCCUCCUGGUGUCCCCGUGUCCUUUAGGUCCUUCAUGGUGUCCCUAUGGUGUCCCCAUGUCUCUCAGGUCCCUCCUGGUGUCCCCAUGGUGUCCCCAUGUCAUCCCCAUGUCCCUCAGGUCCCCCAUGGUGUCACUGUGGUCUUCCCAUGUUCUUCAGGACCUUCAUGGUGUCCCCAUGUGAUGUCCCCAUGUCCCUCAGGUCCCCCAUGGUGUCCCUGUGGUGUCCCCAUGUCCUUUGUGCUCUCCAUGGUGUCCCCCCCAUGGAGACACCAGAAUGUCACAGGGAUCCACGUGUCCCCCUCAGUGUCCCCAUGUCCCCAGUGCCAUCAAUGCGGCGUCUGUGUGUCCCCCCUCCCACACUGAGGUCCCUUGUCCUCUCCCUGUCACCCCACAGGUGACAACGUGGGACGAGUACCGCGAGGAGGGGACCUUCCCCGGCAAGAUCUGAGCUUCUCUGAGGCUUGGGGGGGGGGUCACCGUUGUCCCCCCGGGGCAGGGGGUUGGUGACACGCACACCUGGUGGGACACCGCCGUCACCGGGGUGGGGGAGGGGACACCGUUGUCACCGUGGGGCGGUGACGCGGCCAAUAAAGGGUUAAACUGGUGCUGAGUGCGGCUCCCA